UCCUACGGGAGGCAGCAGUAAGGAAUAUUGGACAAUGGACGAAAGUCUGAUCCAGCCAUGCCGCGUGCAGGAUGACAGCCCUAUGGGUUGUAAACUGCUUUUAUACAGGAAGAAACACUCCGACGUGUCGGAGCUUGACGGUACUGUAAGAAUAAGGAUCGGCUAACUCCGUGCCAGCAGCCGCGGUAAUACGGAGGAUCCAAGCGUUAUCCGGAAUCAUUGGGUUUAAAGGGUCCGCAGGCUGUUUUUUAAGUCAGAGGUGAAAUCCUGCAGCUCAACUGUAGAACUGCCUUUGAUACUGGAAAACUUGAGUUAUUGUGAAGUGGUUAGAAUGUGUGGUGUAGCGGUGAAAUGCAUAGAUAUCACACUGAAUACCGAUUGCGAAGGCAGAUCACUAACAAUAUACUGACGCUCAUGGACGAAAGCGUGGGGAGCGAACAGGAUUAGAUACCCUGGUAGUCCACGCCGUAAACGAUGGAUACUAGCUGUUCGUCUAACAUUGGUUAGAUGAGUGGCUAAGCGAAAGUGAUAAGUAUCCCACCUGGGGAGUACGGUCGCAAGACUGAAACUCAAAGGAAUUGACGG
RNAcentral lists this ribosomal RNA (585 nucleotides) under uncultured Flavobacterium sp. RNAcentral's name for it is "bacterial SSU rRNA". It matches the Rfam family "Bacterial small subunit ribosomal RNA", at positions 337 to 916 of the family's 1533-position model. The record is from RNAcentral. Lineage: Bacteria; Pseudomonadati; Bacteroidota; Flavobacteriia; Flavobacteriales; Flavobacteriaceae.